This 334-nucleotide unclassified non-coding RNA is filed under the name soil metagenome. RNAcentral describes it as "partial contains 5.8S ribosomal RNA, internal transcribed spacer 2, and large subunit ribosomal RNA". The stretch from base 1 to 120 matches the Rfam family "5.8S ribosomal RNA", at positions 35 to 154 of the family's 154-position model. The record is from RNAcentral.
GAUGAAGAACGUAGCGAAAUGCGAUAAGUAGUGUGAAUUGCAGAAUUCAGUGAAUCAUCGAAUCUUUGAACGCACAUUGCGCCCCUUGGUAUUCCAUGGGGCAUGCCUGUUCGAGCGUCAUUUGUACCUUCAAGCUUUGCUUGGUGUUGGGUGUUUGUCCAUUCUCUUGCAGAGGGACUCGCCUUAAAGUAAUUGGCAGCCAGUGUUUUGGUUUUGAAGCGCAGCACAAGUCGCGAUUCAACGCUAUACGCCAGCUUCCACAAGACUUUUUCACUUUUGACCUCGGAUCAGGUAGGGAUACCCGCUGAACUUAAGCAUAUCAAUAAGCGGAGGA